GUCCACGCUGUAAACGAUGGGCACUAGGUGUCCGGGGUAUUGACCCCCUGGGUGGCCGCAGCUAACGCAUUAAGUGCCCCGCCCUGGGGAGGUACGGUCGCAAGAUUAAAACUACAAAGGAAAUUGACGGGGGCCCGGCACAAGCGGUGGAGCAUGUGGUUCAAUUCGACGCAACGCGAAGAACCUUACCUGGGCUAGACAACGGUGGACCAUCCUAGAAAUAGGCUUUUCCCUUCGGGGACCGCCGGUUCAGGUGCUGCAUGGCUGUCGU
This 271-nucleotide ribosomal RNA is filed under the name uncultured bacterium. RNAcentral describes it as "partial 16S ribosomal RNA". It matches the Rfam family "Bacterial small subunit ribosomal RNA", at positions 793 to 1055 of the family's 1533-position model. The record is from RNAcentral.